Long non-coding RNA from Impatiens glandulifera, 474 nucleotides. RefSeq lists it as uncharacterized. The transcript is spliced from 3 exons. Lineage: Eukaryota; Viridiplantae; Streptophyta; Magnoliopsida; Ericales; Balsaminaceae. The record is from RefSeq and is a predicted model, not a curated record.
UAUGAACCAAUUCUUUUAUCUCCCGAUGUGGGAACAAAUACUCGUAAUAUUGCUUCUUGUUUCUCACACCGCCCUCAUAAGAUCAGAAGAAGGGAGAAAAAACUAUGACUUUGCUGCUGGUUCUUCUUGGUGAGAUGAUAACAAGUCAACUAGAUUGUUGUUGCAUUUACUAAUAAACUCAAAGUGGGAUUGUUUGAUGACGAUUCUUAUCGACUAUCGAUUCGCCCAAAAUGAUGAAACUUCGGGGAAAGCCUGAAGUGAUUCAAAGUGAAGCUUAAGGUUUUGUGCAUCAUUAGAUUUUAGGAGGUUUGGCUCAAAAUAACAAUGCAUAUGUCCUCUAGGGUAGUUCAUUCUAUAGAAUCCAAUGGUUCAGAAUCUAAGUUGUUUAAAUUACUUUCUUACUCUCAAAUCCUAAAUGAAAUGGGGAAGGGAUUUGAAUGCCGAAUGUAGUAGAUAUGCACCCUGAAACAGGUG